RNAcentral lists this small nuclear RNA (94 nucleotides) under Vombatus ursinus (common wombat). The record is from RNAcentral. Lineage: Eukaryota; Metazoa; Chordata; Mammalia; Diprotodontia; Vombatidae.
GUUCUCAAUUUAGCAUAUAUAUUAAAGUUAGAAAGUCAUAGGAAAGAUUAGCAUGGCCACUGCACAAGGAUGAUAUGAAAGGUAUUUGAUUUAU